RNAcentral lists this ribosomal RNA (162 nucleotides) under uncultured bacterium. RNAcentral describes it as "partial 16S ribosomal RNA". It matches the Rfam family "Bacterial small subunit ribosomal RNA", at positions 355 to 509 of the family's 1533-position model. The record is from RNAcentral.
UAGGGAAUCUUCCGCAAUGGGCGAAAGCCUGACGGAGCAAUGCCGCGUGAGUGAAGAAGGCCUUCGGUCGUAAAACUCUGUUAUAAGAGAAGAACAAAUUGUUAGAGUAACUGCUACAGUCUUGACGGUAUCUUAUCAGAAAGCCACGGCUAACUACGUGCC